AUUGAACGCUGGCGGCAGGCCUAACACAUGCAAGUCGAGCGAGCGGCGGACGUGUGAGUAAUGCCUGGGAAUUGCCCAGUCGAGGUGGAUAACAGUUGGAAAAGACUGCUAAUACCGCAUACGAUCGGAUUGCCCAGGGGGGGUUAGCUAGUUGGGGAGGUAAUGACUCACCAAGGCGACGAUCCCUAGCUGGUCUGAGAGGAUGAUCAGCCACACUUGACGUUGGACACGGUCUAGACGCCUGCGGGAGGCAGCAGUGGAGCAUAAUGGACAAUGGGGGAAGCCCUGAUGCAGCCAUGCAGCGUGUGUGAAGAAGGCCUUGUGGUUGACAAGCACUUUAAGCGAGGAGGGGUUACUCGCAGAAGAAGCACCGGCUAACUCCGUGCCAGCAGCCGCGGAAAUAC
RNAcentral lists this ribosomal RNA (404 nucleotides) under uncultured bacterium. RNAcentral describes it as "partial 16S ribosomal RNA". It matches the Rfam family "Bacterial small subunit ribosomal RNA", at positions 30 to 526 of the family's 1533-position model. The record is from RNAcentral.